Molecule: ribosomal RNA, 487 nt
Filed under: uncultured bacterium
Lineage: Bacteria
Description: partial 16S ribosomal RNA
Rfam family: Bacterial small subunit ribosomal RNA
Source: RNAcentral
ACGAACGCUGGCGGCGUGCUUAACACAUGCAAGUCGAACGGAAAGGCCCUGCUUUUGUGGGGUGCUCGAGUGGCGAACGGGUGAGUAACACGUGAGUAACCUGCCCUUGACUUUGGGAUAACUUCAGGAAACUGGGGCUAAUACCGGAUAGGAGCUCCUGCUGCAUGGUGGGGGUUGGAAAGUUUCGGCGGUUGGGGAUGGACUCGCGGCUUAUCAGCUUGUUGGUGGGGUAGUGGCUUACCAAGGCUUUGACGGGUAGCCGGCCUGAGAGGGUGACCGGCCACAUUGGGACUGAGAUACGGCCCAGACUCCUACGGGAGGCAGCAGUGGGGAAUAUUGCACAAUGGGCGGAAGCCUGAUGCAGCAACGCCGCGUGCGGGAUGGAGGUCUUCGGAUCGUAAAACUCUGUUAUUAGGGAAGAACAUAUGUGUAAGUAACUGUGCGCAUCUUGACGGUACCUAAUCAGAAAGCCACGGCUAACUACGUG